This 496-nucleotide ribosomal RNA is filed under the name uncultured Glomeromycotina. RNAcentral's name for it is "partial small subunit ribosomal RNA". It matches the Rfam family "Eukaryotic small subunit ribosomal RNA", at positions 591 to 1092 of the family's 1831-position model. The record is from RNAcentral. Lineage: Eukaryota; Fungi; Glomeromycota.
CCAAUAGCGUAUAUUAAAGUUGUUGCAGUUAAAAAGCUCGUAGUUGAAUUUUGGGUUUGGCCGAUCGGUCCGCCCUUGUAACGAGUACUGGUCGGUUGGGCCUCACCGCCUGGUGAUGUGUAAUGUUCUUUAUUGGGCGUUGUGAGCAGCCAGGACUUUUACCUUGAAAAAAUUAGAGUGUUUAAAGCAGGCUUAUGCCGGAAUAUAUUAGCACGGAAUAAUAGAAUAGGACGAUGAUUCUAUUUUGUUGGUUUCUAGGACCAUCGUAAUGAUUAAUAGGGAUAGUUGGGGGCAUUAGUAUUCAAUUGUCAGAGGUGAAAUUCUUGGAUUUAUUGAAGACUAACUACUGCGAAAGCAUUUGCCAAGGAUGUUUUCAUUAAUCAAGAACGAAAGUUAGGGGAUCGAAGACGAUCAGAUACCGUCGUAGUCUUAACCAUAAACUAUGCCGACUAGGGAUCGGGCGAUGUUGUUUCAAUGACUCGCUCGGCACCUUAUG